RNA transcript from Arachis ipaensis, 3751 nucleotides. It is a transcript of the gene named putative disease resistance RPP13-like protein 1, with no coding region annotated. The record is from RefSeq and is a predicted model, not a curated record. Lineage: Eukaryota; Viridiplantae; Streptophyta; Magnoliopsida; Fabales; Fabaceae.
AAGAUACUGGUGACAUGGAAAAAAUAGUUGGCACACUAGAGUCUGUUGUAAGACGCAAAAAUUAUCUUCGUCUGAAGGAGAGUGCCAAGGUGGACAUGUCAUGGAGAAUUCCAUCCACAUGUCUUGUUGAACCAUCGGAGAUAUGUGGCAGGAAAGAAGACAAGGAGGCCAUACUGAAACUGUUGUUGGAUGAUGAUGAUGCUGCUGAUGGUGAUUUAUCUGUCAUUCCCAUUGUGGGCAUGGGCGGAAUAGGAAAGACUACCUUGGCCCAAUUGCUUUACCACGAUGACAAAGUGAAGGACAAUUUUGAUUUUCGAGGUUGGGUUUGUGUGUCAGAAGAAUUUGAUGUUGUCAAGGUCACCAAGACUGUAAUCGAGGCAAUAACUUCAAGUUCUUGUAACUUGACAGAUUUGAAUUUACUUCAGCUUGAUUUAAAGGAAAAGUUGUCGAGGCAAAAGUUCUUCAUUGUCUUGGACGACGUAUGGAAUGAAAAUUAUAGUGAUUGGGAUAAGCUUCUAAAACCUUUUCAAAAAGGGGUUAAGGGAAGUAAAAUUCUCAUAACUACUAGAAACAAAAAUGUGGCUUCUUUAGUGCAGACUGUUUCACCUCAUGAACUAAGAUCAUUGUCCGAUGAAGAUUGUUGGUUGGUGUUUACAAAGCAUGCACGUCUGUCAACUGUUUCCGUGGAUAAUCCAACCCUGGAAAAAAUCGGCAGAGAUAUCGUAAAGAAGUGUGAUGGAUUGCCCUUGGCAGCUCUAGCCCUUGGAGGCAUAUUGCGUGGAAAUUCUGAUAUCAGAUAUUGGAAUCUUUUAUUGAAGAGUGAAAUCUGGGAACUCUCCAAUGACAGAAUAAAUGUUCUUCCAGCGUUAAUGAUAAGUUAUUACUUUCUUCCUUCAUAUUUGAAGCAGUGCUUUGUUUAUUGUUCCUUGUAUCCCAAGGACUAUGAAUUUAGCAAGGAUGAAUUGAUGCUGUUAUGGAAGGCAGAGAAUUUUUUGCAACCAGUAGAAAAAAAGACUAUAGAAGAAGUUGGUGGUGAAUAUUUUGAUGAAUUAAUUGCGAGAUCAUUUUUGCAACCUCAUAGUAUCGAGGAAAAUAAAUUUGUGAUGCAUGAUCUUGUUCAUGAUUUAGCAAUGACAUGUGCUGGAGUGUUUUAUUUCAGAGCUGAAGAGCUUCUGAAUGCAGUUGAGGUUGAUAUUAAAGCUCGUCAUUUGUCACAUAACGCCAAAGGCAAUUGUCCAAUGUCAAAUCUUUUGGGAGUUUGUGAUAGAGUAAAACAUACAAGGACAUUUCUUGAAAUCAAUUUGAACAAGCGGAUUCCAUUCAAUAUGGAAAAUGCACCUUGUAUCAUGUUGUCACAGUUGAAGUACCUGAGAGCAUUGUCGUUCAAAUGGUUUCCUCUUGAGUCAGUGUCUGAUUCAAUAGGGGAGUUGAUUCAUCUGCGUUACUUGGAUCUCUCUUGGACUGACAUUGUGGCAUUGCCGGAGUCAAUGGGUAACCUAUACAACUUGCAGACCUUGAAGUUGUUUGGCUGUAGAAAUCUGAAAAUGCUACCUGUUGGCAUGAAAGACCUUGUAAAUUUGCGCCAUCUUGAUAUUAGAGGGACUCAGUUGCAUGAGAUGACAAAAGGCUUGAGCAAAUUAAAAAGUUUGCAAUUUUUAAGUGAUUAUAUUGUUGGAAAGCAUGAAGAAAACAAGAUUAAAGAAUUGGGAGCACUUGUAGAUCUACACCAAUCUAUUUCCAUUGACAAGUUGGAGAAUGUGGUCAACAGCAAUGAAGCUUCGAUGGCAAGAAUGUUUGAUAAGGAUGGCAUUGAUUCUAUGACGUUACGUUGGUCGUGGAAUAAAGACGAGAAUACAGUUGAUUCCGAAAUGGAAAGAGAUAUACUUGACAAGUUACGACCUCACGCUAAUUUGAAAGAGUUAUAUAUUUAUGGUUACAGGGGUACAAGAUUUCCAGAUUGGGUGGGACAUUCUUCCUACCACAACAUCACCACAAUAACACUGGAUGGUUGCUGGAGUUGCUGUAUGCUUCCUUCACUUGGACAGUUGCCCUCUUUGAAGCACCUAUCAAUUUCAGAUUUUGCAAGUCUGGCAACUGUGGGUGCUGAGUUUUACUUUUACCAGAACGAUGAAUCUUGUUUGGAGACUCCAUUUCCAAAGCUCGAAAUUCUUUCGUUUUGGUCAAUGCCUUGCUGGAAGGAGUGGCAUUCAAUGGAGUUGAAUGCAUUUCCUCGACUUAGGGAGCUUACCAUAGGUUUCUGUCCGAUGUUGAGAGGAGAUUUGCCAAAUCAACUUCCAUCUUUGCAAUCACUUCAGAUUCAGAAUUGCGAUGAGCUGAGUUGUUGUGUUCCAAGGGCUCCUGCGAUUACCACUCUUUCAAUUUCGGGAAAGAAUCUAGUGGGGUCUGUGGUGGAGGCCAUUACGCACAUGCAACUGACUUGCCUCACUUCUUUAUGCAUCUCAGAUUGUUCCUCCCAAAUAUUGUUUCCAAUGAGUGCUAUUCCCCCAUCACUACAAGACUUGUCGAUCGAGAGUUGUGGAGAAUUAGAAUUCGAAAUGGAUGGGCAACAUCACUCGCUGCAGAAACUAUCAAUACAGAACAGCUGUGAUUCACAUACAUCCUUCUCGUUAUUGGAUGCCUUUCCGAAUCUCGUGAGUGUUCGUAUCACCGGUUGCGAAAAGAUGGAGUCUCUUGUGGUGUCACGCUCUCUUUCUUGUCUCCUUUCUUUAUAUAUCUUCUUUUGUCGGAGUUUGAAAUCUGUGUCAACGCUAUGGAUGGCAGCACCUCAGCUACAGCAUCUCACAUUACUGGGUUGCACAGAGGUUGUUGAUUUGUCUCCUACAGGGGAUGGGGAUUCACACCAUAGCCUGAGAUCUCUUGAAAUCAGCUACAGCGAGGAACUGGUGAGCUCUGCAGCAUUCAUGAAUUCGCAAUUUCAUGGGCUUACUCAUCUUAACAUUGAUGGUCAAUACGGCGAGUGUGUGAAGUCCCUGCCAAAAGAAGGUUGGUUGCCUGCCUCCCUUGAGUCUCUCACACUGGAUCGCAUUGAAAGUGUGGAGACAUUGGAAUGCAAGGGACUUGCCCACCUCACCUCCCUCCAGAAACUAACUAUUCUGUAUUGUGACAAGUUGGAUUAUAUCGAGGGAGAUAAGCUGCCUGCCUCUUUAAUACAACUCAGCAUCUAUGGCAGCCCUUUGCUGGUCAAACAAUGUCAGAAGAAGGAUCCACAGCUUUGGCCCAAAAUCUCCCACAUCCCCGCCAUUCAAGUUGAUGGCAGAUGGAUUUGAUUAUCCAUCCACCCAACAAUUUCAAUCAUUGCAAUACACAGGGCUGAUUUCUGAGAAAUAAGACAGUAACAAAAGCAACUGAGCAACAAGGGAGACCCAUAAUCAUGGCCACAAUUGAGCAACGUGACCAUUGCAUUGGAAAAUUUAAUUCCUUAGCUUCUUUAUUUUCUUUUGGAACCUUUUGAAGAUUGAGACUUUUGGUUUGGUUUCUACUUUCUACAAACCUCAUGGUCAUGCUCCUUUUGCAGACAUAUAUUUACUUUUUGGGAUUUUUGAAAUUUUCUUUAGAUGUAUCAUGUCAGUUAUAUUGGUGACUUACCUUGGCGUUUAUGUAUUGGAGGAGUGUGAUUAAUUGUGUUGCACCAUUGAGCCUUUCUGAUCUAUGAUUUUUGCCCCCCUUUUUCUCUGUUUUAUUGUGUAUUGGUGACAAAGAAUUGCCUCUAAUUAGUAACAUUGUUUUUCCA